Long non-coding RNA from Chinchilla lanigera (long-tailed chinchilla), 1045 nucleotides. RefSeq lists it as uncharacterized. The transcript has 2 exons. Lineage: Eukaryota; Metazoa; Chordata; Mammalia; Rodentia; Chinchillidae. The record is from RefSeq and is a predicted model, not a curated record.
GCUGCCUUCUGUUCCUGGUGACUGUGGCUCCAAUAGGCAUGGAGAAUGGUCUAGAAACAAUGGCCAGCCCUUUAGUAAGCAGUGUGCGCUAUCAGUGCACACACCGUCGUCUCUAAAUAUUAUUUUCCUUGAAAAAUAAACAGCUGAUUCUGCUUUUGGGCUGAAAAUGCACAGUAUGUACUGAGACUAUUUUCCACUGCCAAAAUCAAGGAUGGCGUUGUGUCAGGGAGACCUGAAGAGAUUCUUGUUGGCCAAAGUCAACAAUUUGAGCAUCAAGAAAGAAAAUAAUUGCAGUGGGUUGAAAACCAUCAAAUAUACUUAAAUCCCUACGUUCAUGAUUAUAUAUAUUCACAUGAACAAUCCUCAGUGAUCAUCUUUGGAAGAUGUUAGGAAAUCAAUUGGUUAUUUUGAAAACUGGUGAGUCAAAGAGAAACAAUCAAGCAUUUAUUCUGUCUUUCCCGUAAGAACUGUGCCUCAGGCAACCAAGGUCUCUACAGAAGCAUUCCAGCAAGUAAAAUGGAAAAAGAAUGAAGGAUUGACUUAACAGAUCACCAUUUUGUAACUCCUCCUGAAUUAACUGAUCUGAUGGUAUUACAAAAAAGAGAAAACAAUCAGACAAUUCUGGACGGAAUUAAGUAUCACCUCCUAUGAAGAAAUACUGUCCCCCAAAACCCAGCAUGAAUCUGAUCAAGUCUUUAAAGCAGAGGUUGGCAGUAUCUCUCUAAAGGGCCAGUAUCUCUCCGCUGAUAUGUAAUCUCUACUGCAACAGUUCAGUCCUAGACACAUGCUACACACACGGGCCUGACUGUGUUCCAGUAAAAUCCCAUUUCCAAAACCUUCUCCCACCAAAAAAAGCCAAAACAGUGAAGCUAUGGAGCAUAACUUGCCAACUUGUUCUUGAUCUGUCUACCAACUUACAGUGAACGUAAGGACUGAGGAACACGCAAAAUGACACCACAGGGAUAAUAACAAGUAAAAUCCAAACAAGGGGAAUACUGGCAGGAAAAUAACCUGAUUUAUUUAACCAAUAAAUUUUAAGAUACAG